RNAcentral lists this long non-coding RNA (330 nucleotides) under Hordeum vulgare. RNAcentral's name for it is "long non-coding RNA (HVUL_LNC017034)". The record is from RNAcentral. Lineage: Eukaryota; Viridiplantae; Streptophyta; Magnoliopsida; Poales; Poaceae.
AGAGAGAGUGAUCCAUGAUUGAAUCACUAGCAGCGGUCAAAAUUUAUCCUUAGUUACUGAUGGACUAAGGAUUUUUUCUCGAUUAUGGAGGUGGUUAAAGAGUUCGUCGUAAAGGUUACGUCGAUGCAAGCUUUGACACUAAUCCGAAUAACUAUGAGUAGUGAAACGGGUUCGUAUAGUAGAGUAGAUAUUUGGAGUAUUUCCGAAUAGCACAUAGUAGCAGCAUCUAUAAGAUGACAUAAAGAUUUGUAAAGAACACACGGAUCUGAAAGUUUCAGAACCGUUGACUAAAACCUCUCUCACGAGCAAGACGUGAUCACACCCCAUAAC